GAGCAGAUGAGAAUAGCAGAAAAACGAACGAAUGAAUAUUUUUCCAUAGAGUGGAUUAAGACCCUAAAAAUAAUAACUACGUGGUUGGUGAUUCACAAGAGCCAUAUCUAAUCAAACCACAGCGGUUUUGGUCAGGUUUUUUUGUGUGUUAUUGUUCCUGUUUGAAGUUUGAACUUGAAGAGGAGUUUCUUCUGUUGAGUGUGUGUGUGCGCGGAGACUACACACACGCCCAGGACACAAGAUGGUGAGCCAGACACGCGGACUUUGUUUCUAAAGACAAGAGUUCAUCUUCAUCAUGCUAGUGAGAGGAUCCGCUGCGCGUGGACGGACUUUUGGUAAACUUUUUGCCAGAGCGGUAGGAGUAUUGGAUUACAUUUCUUCUUCUUUUCAAACUGAACUGAUCUGGAGUACAUAGAAACUGAACUCUGAACUGAUCUGGAGUACAUAGAAACUGAACUCUGAACUAAGUAGGCUACACAGAAACUGAACUUUGAACUCUGAAUUGAAGUGUUGCAUUUUGUAUUUUGUUCUUCAUAAUUGUCAUUGUUGUGAUUAGAGGUAUAAGUGUUACACUUCAUUUUGAUUUAGAAAGGUGUAAUUAUUCUCUUACCUGUGAGAAGAGAAAAAAAAGAGUUAACUCAGGAAGAUAAUUGAACCAAAAUAAAUUAACCUUAAAUAAGAUAGUUACAGACCGGUCUAACAUAACUAAACUAUCUAAACUAAACUAAAUAAACCAUCUAACUAGGGUGGGUGGCCUGAACUAAAUUAUCUCUAACCUAGGAAAAAACUGAGGUGAGGAAAAAGAGGUGAACGUGAAAGAAACUUAUUUUUGGUACCUGCAGGUUAUCGACUGAUUCGAAUGUUAUCUGUGAAUGUUUUUAUUUUUAUUUACUUGCAGUAAAGUGCCGGCUUUUGCAUUUAAAUCAUCUGGUCUCUGGCUCAAUUGUAUUUGUUACCCCACUCCAUUAGAACCUAGAACUGGUCCAGUAGUGUAAAUAGUGUGUAUCUGUGAUAUAUAUGCUACAUUGGCAUGCCGAUGUUAGCAUUUAGCUCAAAGCACUGCUUUGUCUAAUUACAGCUUCACAGAGCCGUUAGCCUGGCCAUAAACUGUCAGUCUUGUUACUUCAUAAAUUACCUAAAUGACAAAUCAAUAAAACUUGACGUCGAUGAAUUUUCUCAGAAUAAUCACUUUUUAGUAGUGCCAAAAGGUUUUUUCGAGAUGACCCAGACCUGUGCACAAUCGAUCAAUACUGAUUGCCAGGCAAUGCAUGCCAUUUAGAAUUGUGUCCGACUUCAUCCCGACUUGCUCAGAUGUGAUGCAAAAGUGGACAAUGAUAUUCUCACAAGAUCGGGUCAGCCAUAGUUUUUAGAGUCAGGCGCUGCAGUUGCUAACCCAGGGCAUGAUGGGAAAUGCCUGGCUCUCACAUGAUCGAACACAGGUUUAAAUGUUGACUCAGCAAUAUGACAUUUUAUAUAAACUUUUCAUUUUUGUUGAAUUAAAGAGAGGUUUGGAUUUUAUUUGUCUGAGUUGAAGGUUUAUUCUUUUAACAGAAUAGGCUACAUGUUGUGUGGCUGAUGGUGACAUUUAGUAGUCAGAGAGACUAAAUACAUUCAUAUCACAGAUGAUAAACUAUACAUAGGCUAGUCUACUGUAUACUAACAUUGGACUGUUUAAAUCAUUGAAGUAUUUAGCAACACAAAGACUUGUGGUAAGUGGAAUGUGAGGGAAAACAUCUGACAGAAUGAAAUCCUGACUAUGAUGUAUUGGACCGAUCUUUAAUGAAAGCUGCGUCUUGUAUUUCUUUCCUCUGUGUUUCACUAUUAGACUCAUAUUUUCAAUUUGUUUAUGCAGUUUGCGGGGAAGAGGUCUGAUGAACUGAUUCAUAAAGGCCCACAGCAGCAAACUGCUAUGUUGCUGAUGUACAUGAGAAUUCAUCUAAAAUGGAGGUUGAACCAUGAACAGAAAUCACAGAUCGUCUGUAAAGCAUUUUAAUAGGCUACUCUGUCAUAAUUACAUCAAUUGGAGACAGCAAACAAAGUGAUAUGGGUCAUUUGGGACAUUUAAUAAAUCAACAUCAGAUCUAA
Molecule: long non-coding RNA, 2085 nt
Organism: Epinephelus moara (kelp grouper)
Lineage: Eukaryota; Metazoa; Chordata; Actinopteri; Perciformes; Serranidae
Exons: 2
Source: RefSeq, a predicted model, not a curated record